Molecule: ribosomal RNA, 397 nt
Filed under: uncultured bacterium
Lineage: Bacteria
Description: partial 16S ribosomal RNA
Rfam family: Bacterial small subunit ribosomal RNA
Source: RNAcentral
AUACGUAGGUGGCAAGCGUUAUCCGGAUUUACUGGGUGUAAAGGGCGUGUAGGCGGGUUUGCAAGUUGGAUGUGAAAUCCUCAGGCUUAACCUGAGAGGGUCAUCCAAAACUGCAGAUCUUGAGUACUGGAGAGGAUAGUGGAAUUCCUAGUGUAGCGGUAAAAUGCGAAGAUAUUAGGAGGAACACCGGUGGCGAAGGCGACUAUCUGGACAGUAACUGACGCUGAGGGGCGAAAGCGUGGGUAGCAAACAGUAUUAGAUCCCCUGGUAGUCCACGCCGUAAACGAUGAAUACUAGGUGUAGGGGGUAUCGACUCCCUCUGUGCCGCAGUUAACUCAAUAAGUAUUCCGCCUGGGGAGUACGGCCGCAAGGUUAAAACUCAAAUGAAUUGACGGGG